Molecule: unclassified non-coding RNA, 631 nt
Filed under: Hevea brasiliensis (rubber tree)
Lineage: Eukaryota; Viridiplantae; Streptophyta; Magnoliopsida; Malpighiales; Euphorbiaceae
Source: RNAcentral
CACUUGCAAAUAAAAUCUUAGGCAUGCUUGAAUAAUUCCAAGGGAAAAGUCCACUAACAAUAAGAAAACAUAGUCUCCAUAAAAUUGUUCAAUUAGUAUACCAAAAGAAAGGUUCAGGCAGCCCAAUGAUCUUCUCCAUCACCUCAAAGUUGGUUUCCUAAAGUUACAAUGUUACAUUCUAUGACAGACCUUUCAACCAAUCAAGAGAGUUGGCAUCUCCCCUCUGUUUAGUCUUUUACUUGCAAAAUCUCUUUUAUAUUCUUCAAUUCAUUUCAACAUAAACAGCAAAAGGUGGAAGAACGAGAGGAACAAAUCAUUACCAAACAUUCAUCAUUUCUCCUUAUAUGUGAAUUCUGCCAAUGAAGCAUGGGAAAAAAGUAAAGUCAUUGUAAUAAGGUGUCCACCCUCUCAUCUCAAAUCUUUUGGGGAACAGCUCAGUUUAGAAGUAUAUCAACUGUUCUUGUUUAAUUGACAGAGAAAAACACAAAACGUUAUGAAUAAUGGCAUGCCAUCAUAAUUCAUAAAACUUCAUUCUAUGCACACAAUAAAAAGAAAUACUUCACAAGUAAGAACUUAAUCGUCUGUUUUCAGCAUCAUAGGAUGCAUAACCUGAGAUUGUAGGUGACCACCA